CUACAAUGGCGUAAACAAAGGGAAGCGAAGUGGCGACAUGGAGCAAAUCCCAAAAAUAAACGUCCCAGUUCGGAUUGUAGUCUGCAACCCGACUACAUGAAGCCGGAAUCGCUAGUAAUCGCGGAUCAGAAUGCCGCGGUGAAUACGUUCCCGGGUCUUGUACACACCGCCCGUCACGCCAUGGGAGUUGGAAAUGCCCGAAGUCAGUGGCCCAACCGGAAGGGGGGAGCUGCCGAAGGCAGGUUCGAUGACUGGGGUGAAGUCGUAACAAGGUACC
RNAcentral lists this ribosomal RNA (277 nucleotides) under uncultured bacterium. RNAcentral's name for it is "partial 16S ribosomal RNA". It matches the Rfam family "Bacterial small subunit ribosomal RNA", at positions 1225 to 1500 of the family's 1533-position model. The record is from RNAcentral.